RNAcentral lists this ribosomal RNA (725 nucleotides) under uncultured bacterium. RNAcentral's name for it is "bacterial SSU rRNA". It matches the Rfam family "Bacterial small subunit ribosomal RNA", at positions 771 to 1501 of the family's 1533-position model. The record is from RNAcentral.
AACAGGAUUAGAUACCCUGGUAGUCCACGCCCUAAACGAUGUCUACUAGUUGUCGGGUUUUAAUUAACUUGGUAACGCAGCUAACGCGUGAAGUAGACCGCCUGGGGAGUACGGUCGCAAGAUUAAAACUCAAAGGAAUUGACGGGGACCCGCACAAGCGGUGGAUGAUGUGGAUUAAUUCGAUGCAACGCGAAAAACCUUACCUACCCUUGACAUGUCAGGAAUCCCGAAGAGAUUUGGGAGUGCUCGAAAGAGAGCCUGAACACAGGUGCUGCAUGGCUGUCGUCAGCUCGUGUCGUGAGAUGUUGGGUUAAGUCCCGCAACGAGCGCAACCCUUGUCAUUAGUUGCUACGCAAGAGCACUCUAAUGAGACUGCCGGUGACAAACCGGAGGAAGGUGGGGAUGACGUCAAGUCCUCAUGGCCCUUAUGGGUAGGGCUUCACACGUCAUACAAUGGUACAUACAGAGGGCCGCCAACCCGCGAGGGGGAGCUAAUCCCAGAAAGUGUAUCGUAGUCCGGAUUGUAGUCUGCAACUCGACUACAUGAAGUUGGGAUCGCUAGUAAUCGCGGAUCAGCAUGUCGCGGUGAAUACGUUCCCGGGUCUUGUACACACCGCCCGUCACACCAUGGGAGCGGGUUUUACCAGAAGUAGGUAGCUUAACCGUAAGGAGGGCGCUUACCACGGUAGGAUUCGUGACUGGGGUGAAGUCGUAACAAGGUAACC